Molecule: ribosomal RNA, 429 nt
Filed under: Gemmatimonadota bacterium
Lineage: Bacteria; Pseudomonadati; Gemmatimonadota
Description: Gemmatimonadetes bacterium partial 16S ribosomal RNA
Rfam family: Bacterial small subunit ribosomal RNA
Source: RNAcentral
UAGGGAAUCUUCGGCAAUGGACGAAAGUCUGACCGAGCAACGCCGCGUGAGUGAAGAAGGUUUUCGGAUCGUAAAACUCUGUUGUUAGAGAAGAACAAGGACGUUAGUAACUGAACGUCCCCUGACGGUAUCUAACCAGAAAGCCACGGCUAACUACGUGCCAGCAGCCGCGGUAAUACGUAGGUGGCAAGCGUUGUCCGGAUUUAUUGGGCGUAAAGCGAGCGCAGGCGGUUUCUUAAGUCUGAUGUGAAAGCCCCCGGCUCAACCGGGGAGGGUCAUUGGAAACUGGGAGACUUGGGUGCAGAAGAGGGGAGUGGAAUUCCAUGUGUAGCGGUGAAAUGCGUAGAUAUAUGGAGGAACACCAGUGGCGAAGGCGGCUCUCUGGUCUGUAACUGACGCUGAGGCUCGAAAGCGUGGGGAGCAAACAGG